GAUGGCUCCUUCUGCUACCAAACACAAGGACCGCUCUGAUGAGAAGUCCAAGGAUAGAUCUAAAGAUAAAGGGGCCACUAAAGAGUCAAGUGAGAAGGAUCGUGGCAGAGAUACGACUCGGAAGACGCACAGUGCUUCAAGCGGAAGCAGCAGCACCAUGUCUGGGUCCAGCUCAACCUCCAGCUCGGGCUCCAGCACCAGCACAGGCUCAAGCAGUGGCUCCAGCUUGUCCUCUGCAUCCAGCCGCUCGAAAAGCUCCAGUACAUCCCGGAGCUCCAGUUCUAGCAGCUCUUCCAGCUCCCCCAGCCCUUCUCGGCUCAGGCAUGACAACAGGCAGCAGUCCCGCUCCAAAUCCAAGCCACCUAAAAGAGAUGAAAAAGAGAGGAAAAAGUGGAGUCCUUCACCUGAACCCACCAAAGUGCACAUUGGGAGGCUCACUAGAAAUGUGACCAAGGAUCAUAUCAUGGAAGUGUUUUCUACUUACGGGAAAAUUAAAAUGAUUGACAUGCCUGUAGAAAGGAUGCAUCCUCAUCUAUCCAAAGGCUAUGCAUAUGUGGAAUUUGAGAAUCCAGAUGAAGCAGAGAAGGCACAGAAACACAUAGAUGGAGGACAAAUUGAUGGCCAAGAGAUCACUGCUACUGCUGUGUUGGCACCAUAGCCUCGGCGAUUCAGCCCACCCAGGAGAAUGCUUCUGCCACCUCCUAUGUGGUGUAGGUCACCCCCACGGAUGAGGAGAAGGUAUUGAUCCCCAAGUUGCAGGUCCCCUGUGCGAAGGAUCUGUGUGUCUCGAUCACCUGGCCGCUGCCGCCACACGAGCUGAUCCAGCUCCAACUCCUCCCAAUAA
This is a non-coding RNA of Arvicanthis niloticus (Nile rat), 844 nucleotides long. Lineage: Eukaryota; Metazoa; Chordata; Mammalia; Rodentia; Muridae. The record is from RefSeq and is a predicted model, not a curated record.